UACGUAGGGCGCAAGCGUUGUCCGGAAUUAUUGGGCGUAAAGAGCUCGUAGGCGGUCUGUCGCGUCGGCUGUGAAAACCCGGGGCUCAACCCCGGGCCUGCAGUCGAUACGGGCAGACUAGAGUGUGGUAGGGGAGACUGGAAUUCCUGGUGUAGCGGUGGAAUGCGCAGAUAUCAGGAGGAACACCGGUGGCGAAGGCGGCUCACUGGCUCAUUUCUGACGCUCAGGCGCGACAGCGUGGGGAUCAAACAGG
Molecule: ribosomal RNA, 253 nt
Filed under: uncultured bacterium
Lineage: Bacteria
Description: partial 16S ribosomal RNA
Rfam family: Bacterial small subunit ribosomal RNA
Source: RNAcentral